UCAUUAUUGAAUAAACCUGAUGUGAUUGUUAGCUGGCUUUUCGAAGCAUGUGCUCAUCCGUCAUCUUUAUCUCUCCACCUGUGCACAUUUUGUAGUCUUGGAUACCUCUCGAGGAAACUCGGAUUUUAGAAUCGCUGUGCUGUACAAGUCGGCUUUUCUUUCAUUUCCAAGACUAUGUUUUUAUAUACACCAAAGUAUGUUUAUAGAAUGUCAUCAAUGGGAACUUGUUUCCUAUAAAAUUAUACAACUUUCAGCAACGGAUCUCUUGGCUCUCGCAUCGAUGAAGAACGCAGCGAAAUGCGAUAAGUAAUGUGAAUUGCAGAAUUCAGUGAAUCAUCGAAUCUUUGAACGCACCUUGCGCUCCUUGGUAUUCCGAGGAGCAUGCCUGUUUGAGUGUCAUUAAAUUCUCAACCUUCCAACUUUUAUUAGCUUGGUUAGGCUUGGAUGUGGGGGUUGCGGGCUUCAUUAAUGAGGUCNGCUCUCCUUAAAUGCAUUAGCGGAACUUUUGUGGACCGUCUAUUGGUGUGAUAAUUAUCUACGCCGUGGAUGUGAAGCAGCUUUAUGAAGUUCUGCUUCUAACCGUCCAUUGACUUGGACAAUUUUGAUAAUUUGACCUCAAAUCAGGUAGGACUACCCGCUGAACUUAAGCAUAUCAAUAAGCGGAGGAAAAGAAACUAACAAGGAUUCCCCUAGUAACUGCGAGUGAAGCGGGAAAAGCUCAAAUUUAAAAUCUGGCAGUCUUUGGCUGUCCGAGUUGUAAUCUAGAGAAG
This 770-nucleotide ribosomal RNA is filed under the name uncultured Laccaria. RNAcentral's name for it is "eukaryotic LSU rRNA". The stretch from base 246 to 399 matches the Rfam family "5.8S ribosomal RNA". Lineage: Eukaryota; Fungi; Basidiomycota; Agaricomycetes; Agaricales; Tricholomataceae. The record is from RNAcentral.